GAUGAACGCUAGCUACAGGCUUAACACAUGCAAGUCGAGGGGCAGCAUGGUCUUAGCUUGCUAAGGCCGAUGGCGACCGGCGCACGGGUGAGUAACACGUAUCCAACCUGCCGUCUACUCUUGGACAGCCUUCUGAAAGGAAGAUUAAUACAAGAUGGCAUCAUGAGUCCGCACGUUCACAUGAUUAAAGGUAUUCCGGUAGACGAUGGGGAUGCGUUCCAUUAGAUAGUAGGCGGGGUAACGGCCCACCUAGUCUUCGAUGGAUAGGGGUUAUGAGAGGAAGGUCCCCCACAUUGGACCUGCGACACGGUCCACACUGCUACGGGAGGCAGCAGUAAGGUAUAUUGAUCAAUGGGCGCAGGCCUGAACCAGCCAAGUAGCGUGAAGGAUGACUGCCCUAUGGGUUGUAAACUUCUUUUAUAAAGGAAUAAAGUCGGGUAUGUAUACCCGUUUGCAUGUACUUUAUGAAUAAGGAUCGGCUAACUCCGUG
This 490-nucleotide ribosomal RNA is filed under the name uncultured bacterium. RNAcentral's name for it is "partial 16S ribosomal RNA". It matches the Rfam family "Bacterial small subunit ribosomal RNA", at positions 28 to 507 of the family's 1533-position model. The record is from RNAcentral.